Long non-coding RNA from Mauremys reevesii (Reeves's turtle), 548 nucleotides. RefSeq lists it as uncharacterized. The record is from RefSeq and is a predicted model, not a curated record. The transcript has 3 exons. Lineage: Eukaryota; Metazoa; Chordata; Testudines; Geoemydidae.
UUGUUCCAGUCACCGGCAGCUGUGGUUGCUGGGGCAGCUCUCCAGGCUCCUGCUUUAUUAUCACCUUUUCAUAAGGAAAACUGGAGUAAACAAACUGCUUUGUGCUUCAAAAGAAAUCAUCAUCUGCAAGCAUCGGUCUUCAGAGAGAGAAGCAUCUGGAAUGGACUCAAGUAACUGUUUAAUUGGUGAAGAAGCUUUCACUGGCGCUGGUAUACUUAGUGGUAAUGGUAAAGACGUGGGGACAUCAGAAAGGUCAGAUUCAGAAGACUGGGAAAAGAGAUAACCCUCGCCAAGAGAAUGCCGAUGUAGCUCAACAUCCACUACCUUCCAGAAAGAGUGCUGAACUCUAACCACUAGAUUACACUGCCAUCUAUACUGCAGAAAACAGUCAGCUAAGCACAACAGGAAGGAGUUUACCCAACUAUGGCUAAAAGUGAACAAGUCAUAAAAUCAUUGUGAAUCAAGAGGAUAGUUCAUUUGCUGGCCACUGACUUCACUAUUCUCUAUUUUGACUAUUACCUCUAAAUUCAUUCCUUUCUGUAACUCAA